Long non-coding RNA from Mauremys mutica (yellowpond turtle), 801 nucleotides. RefSeq lists it as uncharacterized. The transcript has 3 exons. NCBI's taxonomy places the organism in Eukaryota, Metazoa, Chordata, Testudines, Geoemydidae. The record is from RefSeq and is a predicted model, not a curated record.
GGGGGUCGGGACAGGGUGGGUUAAGAGCCUGAGGCUGGUACCCACCCACCCACCUGAGGAUGCUGUUACCAGGGGCAACCUCCAGCCUCUGACGUUAGCUGGGGAGCAGGGAGGCUGGAGAUGGCGACUUGGCAUGGUAACCCGGGCAACGUGCCCGGCAACUUGGCAUGGUAACCCGGGCAACGUGCCCAGCAACUUGCAUGGCGUAACAGUCUCACGGGGACGCCUGGUGAACUGCGAACAACUCCACCAGGCAGUCCCACCUGUCCCAGCCUGCCAGCUGAACUGUGGCCAGGCUGCUCCGGGCCCCGACCGAACCAGUUCCUCUACACGCUGGGUGUGCCGAGGUUAUUCAGUUCACAGAUCACCAGAGAGUCGCUUUAUGCCUUAAGCCCUGCCCCUGCACCUGCCCCAGAGAAUGGGGCACGAGGAGGGGCGGGGACACUGGCACCUGCUCAGGAGACCGUCAGUUCAGCUGCUAUUGAAUAACAGUUUGAGACCUCCCUCCCCAGGGCCUCGCUCAACCACCAAUGAAAUGCUGCCAUCUCUGGGGUGGAACGUGACGGCCGUUCUGCACCAGGUUCCCACACCGAAUAGCCCAUCCCCCGUUCAGGCCGGGAUGCUGAGAAGGGCAGAGACAGGCAGUUGACACCGUAACAAGUGAGUCUGGAACCAGAGUAAGAGCUCAGGGCGCUGGGGUCAGGUUCUGAUCUCAGUUAACACCAGCUGAAACCUGGUGCAAGUCCUUCGAUGGAUUUACAGAUGAGGGGGUGUUUACAUUGGGACCCAUUUAUUUUUCCA